RNAcentral lists this ribosomal RNA (465 nucleotides) under Vreelandella stevensii. RNAcentral describes it as "partial 16S ribosomal RNA". It matches the Rfam family "Bacterial small subunit ribosomal RNA", at positions 338 to 795 of the family's 1533-position model. Lineage: Bacteria; Pseudomonadati; Pseudomonadota; Gammaproteobacteria; Oceanospirillales; Halomonadaceae. The record is from RNAcentral.
CCUACGGGAGGCUGCAGUGGGGAAUAUUGGACAAUGGGCGAAAGCCUGAUCCAGCCAUGCCGCGUGUGUGAAGAAGGCCUUCGGGUUGUAAAGCACUUUCAGUGGGGAAGAAAGCCUUGGGGCUAAUACCCUCGAGGAAGGACAUCACCCACAGAAGAAGCACCGGCUAACUCCGUGCCAGCAGCCGCGGUAAUACGGAGGGUGCGAGCGUUAAUCGGAAUUACUGGGCGUAAAGCGCGCGUAGGCGGUCUGAUAAGCCGGUUGUGAAAGCCCCGGGCUCAACCUGGGAACGGCAUCCGGAACUGUCAGGCUAGAGUGCAGGAGAGGAAGGUAGAAUUCCCGGUGUAGCGGUGAAAUGCGUAGAGAUCGGGAGGAAUACCAGUGGCGAAGGCGGCCUUCUGGACUGACACUGACGCUGAGGUGCGAAAGCGUGGGUAGCAAACAUGAUUAGAUACCCGGGUAGUC